This 73-nucleotide transfer RNA is filed under the name Actinoplanes friuliensis DSM 7358. Its description in RNAcentral is "tRNA-Glu (CTC) (tRNA-Glu-CTC-2-1)". It matches the Rfam family "tRNA". Rfam says of the family: Transfer RNA (tRNA) molecules are approximately 80 nucleotides in length. Their secondary structure includes four short double-helical elements and three loops (D, anti-codon, and T loops). The record is from Rfam by way of RNAcentral. Lineage: Bacteria; Bacillati; Actinomycetota; Actinomycetes; Micromonosporales; Micromonosporaceae.
GGGCCGUUGGAGUAGUGGUCAACUCGCCUGGUUCUCAACCAGGAGACCGCCGGUUCGACCCCGGCACGGCCUG